GAGAGAGAGAGGCAGAGACACAGGCAGAGGGAGAAGCAGGCUCCGCGCAGCGAGCCCGACGCGGGACUCGAUCCCCGGUCCCCAGGUCACGCCCUGGGCAGAAGGGGGCGCUAAACCGCUGCGCCAGCCCGGCUGCCCAUGAUUGAAAUUGCCGAUGGGAAAUUUUGAAGGAUAGAAGUUAAAAACGAGUGAAUGGGUGCUCAACUUUCCAUCUUUCGGGAGUAAAUGUAAGAAGUCUGGAGGCGGCUACCACAAGGUAGGGGAGCGGCGGGGAGCGCGGAGCAGCGGGCGCGGAGGCCGGGGCGCGAGGGGCGGGGCCGGCAGGCCGGCGGGUCCCCGGGGUGCACCAUAGAGGGCGCUGGAUGACCGAGGGACAGAGAGGCGCACGCCGCCCACGCCAGUGGCUCCGGGAACCCGCGCCGGCGAGCAAGAUGGCGGCCGUUUGACUGCGAGGCGAGGCGCGGCGCCGCGGGGUGCUGCCGGGGUGGCGACGGCGGGUUGGCUUGGAGCAACGGCCGCCGCCGGGACAGGCUCCCCGCGAGAUGGGACGUGAAGGGCUCCCGCCCGCCCCGCCGUCCUGCAGCUGCUGGAAUGACCUAGCAAUUGGCUAGGUAUACCCUGAACUAUAUAAGAUGUAUGGUGGGCCAGAAGCAGGCCUUCUUCCUGCAGACUUGGAAGGAGCUGAUGACAAAGGUCUGCCAGCAGAGCUCUGACUAUGUUCUUCAGUCUCAAAAAACAUAGAACAGCUACAGAAAAGGUACCACUGCCAUAAAUUUUGCCUACCCCAGGAAAUCUCCAGUUCAACUCUUGAGUUGCUCCGAUGAUCCACCCACCCUGGACCCAUACCCCUGUCUCCAGGCACUGAAUUUUAAGAGGAAAUUCCUGGAGACCCUAAAACCUUCAAGACACAAAGAAUGCAAGAUAGAGAAAAAUAGUGACAGUCAGUUCUUUUGGAGUAAAAUGUCACUGCCUCAAACAUACUUCAUAGGUAUUCAUCACAUACCAAUUCUGAAAUUAGCCUGCUUGUUAUGGUGUUAUGACAGCAAACAGUAUGCAAAGGUUGGGUGAGUUGAAGAAAAUACUCUUUUCUCUUUGUGUAACUCAUGUACAUAUUUUUUGAUAUUACUCUAAUAUCUCUAUAAAAUAAGAGUUUCAUUAGGAACACAUAAAUGUUAACCUUUUUAUUUGAUAGUUACAUCAUUUAUAGGUAAGGCAAUCCAAUCCUGUACCUUACCUAUAUUUAUGUAAAGUAUAUAAUUCAUUGAGUAUUGCACAGCUACAUUCCUGAGAGAUGGAAUCAUCAAGUUUGUUGUUAUUGUGGCAUUAGAAGGAGUUUUGACUUUGAAGAACCAGAAGUAAAUCUAGGACUGAAAUCCAGGCUUUUUUCACAUUACUCUGAUACUUGAGAUUUAAUCUCUUUGUGCUCUAGUCAAGUAGGACAAUACAAUGGAAUAAUGCUAUCUUUCCUAUUUUAUAGGAGUGAAGUAGGUUUUCAUUUAUUUGCCAUUAUUUUUUUGGCUGAUAAUAAUUUGCAACAACCAGAUCAUCUAUAUUUUUAGUCCUAGUCAUGUUUGUUAGGAUUGUAGAGGCAGAGAUGUAAUAAUAAUGACAAAUGAUAGCUCUUUCUCAGAGUUAUAUUUUUCAAAAGCAGCUAUUUCUGGAAGAAAUGUAGAUGAUUCAUCCAUACUGUGGAAUAUGUAUUUUUUUCCUAAAAAUAGGAGUAUAUAUUUCUGAGUAUGUAAUCAGUAAAUUCUGAUUAAAAUCAGAUUAGCACUUUCUUUUUUAAUCAUUUAUUUCAGCUACUGUUUCUGGGGCAUUUAUUGUCCAAUUAUUAUUUUUCCAUAUGUGUGCUGAAUUUUAUGGGGGAAAUAAAAAAAAUUAAGAAACAUGCUACUUAUGUUGA
Long non-coding RNA from Vulpes vulpes (red fox), 1903 nucleotides. NCBI's taxonomy places the organism in Eukaryota, Metazoa, Chordata, Mammalia, Carnivora, Canidae. The record is from Ensembl.